AGCAGCUUUGUUGUCACAAAAUAAGGACAAAUUGUUUGUCUCUACUAGUCUCAUUUCCUCCAUUAAUUUCCACAACCAUAGUAACUCACAAAUACCUUGUGUCAUAGCUAUGAAUUCUGUCUUUGCACUAGAUCUUGUUGUUAAAUUCUGCUUCUUACUGGUCUAAGUGACUAAAUUGCCACCAACAAAGGUACAAUAGCCUGAUGUUGAUUUCCUAUCAUCGAGAGAUCCAGCCCAAUUUGUAUCAGUAAAGGCUUUUAUUUGGAGGUGGCCAUGUUUUGAAAAAAGAAGUCCUUUUCCCGAUGCAGAUUUUAAAUACCUAAAUUGCGGAAGGCAGAGGUUCUCGAGGAUCGUGCAUGCACUGGCUAACUAGGCUUAUAACAUAAGGUAUGUCUGGUCUAGUAUGAGAAAGAUAA
This 416-nucleotide unclassified non-coding RNA is filed under the name Hevea brasiliensis (rubber tree). The record is from RNAcentral. Lineage: Eukaryota; Viridiplantae; Streptophyta; Magnoliopsida; Malpighiales; Euphorbiaceae.